CACCAGCAAGGUUCUGAAGUCGUGUGAAACUGUUGCUCGGUGUCUGUUAGCAGCAUCUGAGGGAAACCGUCUCUUCUUGACCUCUUUGUUACCUUUGCCCUUUAGUCUUCCUUCUCUUUCUCAUCAAAUCUUAGAAUAAAGCAGACAGCAUCCUAGGAAGAUGUGGAGGAUGAGAAGUUUGGAGACAAGUCAACCAUGCUAAGAUGUAUCCUGCUGUUUUUCGGCAAAAAGAGCUGAGCUGGUUCCCAGACUAUGGUGUCAGACCCUCCUCUCAUGGAAGGAGAAACAGACUUCAACUAUCACAGAAAAAAGUCUUCAGAAAAUCCCCCUCAGAAAGCCUGUGAUGAGAUGAUGUGAAAGACUUGGCAGUCUUACCUUGGAAGCAAGAUAAUUGAUAUGAGUUUGUUAGGACAUUGCAACUUGUUACAAGUGAGAAACUGGUCACAGCCACAGAAUAGAGCAAGAGGAAACAAGAUACAGUCUGAGAGGAGAGAGAGGGGCCACCUCUGGUUGCACAUGACUUCCCAACCCAAUGUCAAAGCUUUUCCUUCACUACACAGUCUCUAGCAAAAGAGGAGCAGUGGAUUUCAACAUCCAAGCUGUUAACAGCACCAUUUACAAGGUACUGAUAGAGGCCCUAUAUGUUAGUAUCCACACCCCAGUAGAGAGAACCAUUUUUCAGUUGCUUAGACCUUAACUCUGCCCUAACUGAGGGCAAGGGCAAU
Molecule: long non-coding RNA, 725 nt
Organism: Myiozetetes cayanensis
Lineage: Eukaryota; Metazoa; Chordata; Aves; Passeriformes; Tyrannidae
Exons: 3
Source: RefSeq, a predicted model, not a curated record